AGGAAAAGAAACUAACCAGGAUUCCCCUAGUAACUGCGAGUGAAGCGGGAAAAGCUCAAAUUUAAAAUCUGGUAGUCUCUGGCUGCCCGAGUUGUAAUCUAGAGAAGUGUUAUCCGCGCUGGACCGUGUAUAAGUCUCCUGGAAUGGAGCGUCAUAGAGGGUGAGAAUCCCGUCUUUGACACGGACUACCAGGGCUUUGUGAUGCGCUCUCAAAGAGUCGAGUUGUUUGGGAAUGCAGCUCUAAAUGGGUGGUAAAUUCCAUCUAAAGCUAAAUAUUGGCGAGAGACCGAUAGCGAACAAGUACCGUGAGGGAAAGAUGAAAAGAACUUUGGAAAGAGAGUUAAACAGUACGUGAAAUUGUUGAAAGGGAAACGCUUGAAGUCAGUCGCGUUGGCUAGGAAUCAGCCUUGCUUUUGCUUGGUGUACUUCCUUGUUGACGGGUCAGCAUCAAUUUUGACCGGUGGAAAAAGACUAGUGGAAUGUGGCAUCUUCGGAUGUGUUAUAGCUGCUAGUUGUAUACAUCGGUUGGGAUUGAGGAACUCAGCACGCCGAAAGGUCGGGGUUCGCCCACGUUCGUGCUUAGGAUGCUGGCAUAAUGGCUUUAAUCGACCCGUCUUGAAACACGGACCAAGGAGUCUAACAUGCCUGCGAGUGUUUGGGUGGAAAACCCGAGCGCGUAAUGAAAGUGAAAGUUGAGAUCCCUGUCGUGGGGAGCAUCGACGCCCGGACCAGACCUUCUGUGACGGAUCCGCGGUAGAGCAUGUAUGUUGGGACCCGAAAGAUGGUGAACUAUGCCUGAAUAGGGUGAAGCCAGAGGAAACUCUGGUGGAGGCUCGUAGCGAUUCUGACGUGCAAAUCGAUCGUCAAAUUUGGGUAUAGGGGCGAAAGACUAAUCGAACCA
This 901-nucleotide ribosomal RNA is filed under the name Clitopilus prunulus. RNAcentral's name for it is "eukaryotic LSU rRNA". It matches the Rfam family "Eukaryotic large subunit ribosomal RNA", at positions 54 to 942 of the family's 3401-position model. The record is from RNAcentral. Lineage: Eukaryota; Fungi; Basidiomycota; Agaricomycetes; Agaricales; Entolomataceae.